RNAcentral lists this ribosomal RNA (319 nucleotides) under uncultured eukaryote. RNAcentral's name for it is "partial 18S ribosomal RNA". It matches the Rfam family "Eukaryotic small subunit ribosomal RNA", at positions 1470 to 1796 of the family's 1831-position model. The record is from RNAcentral.
CCCUUAGAUGUUCUGGGCCGCACGCGCGCUACACUGACGAAUGCAACGAGCUUAUAACCUUGGCCGAAAGGUCUGGGUAAUCUCCAAAUUUCGUCGUGAUGGGGAUAGAUUAUUGCAAUUAUUAAUCUUCAACGAGGAAUGCCUAGUAAGCGCAGGUCAUUAGCCUGCGCUGAUUAAGUCCCUGCCCUUUGUACACACCGCCCGUCGCUCCUACCGAUUUCGAGUGGUCCGGUGAAUCUUUCGGACUGCGCGCGGCCUCGUGCCGUGUCGCGGAAAGUCAGGUAAACCUUAUCACUUAGAGGAAGGAGAAGUCGUAACA